AUGAUAUCUUCCGUUUUGGAAACGAAGUAUGAAAGAGGUCACUACCUGCUACAUAUAUAUUUUUUGACCCUUGACCUGAAGCGACAUAUGACACGGAUACAAUUUCCUAUUUAUUCAGAUGGCAGUUUGAAAGAUGGGUUCACCCAGAAAGAUCGCCACAAGGUUCAACAUAAACCCAAGCAUGGUGACAGGCUUUUGUCUGUUUCCUCUCAGGCUUCAGAGAUGAAUGAUCACUUGCUCUUGUCUACAGUGGAUGUAAGUGAGAAAUGUGUGACCUGACUCUAAUAAGCGGGGCUUGACCCCUUUUGGAAAGUAGAGGAGAUAAUUCUAUUUGCGGCAAUUGGGUUUGCCAUCACACAAGGACAAGCAAAUCAGGAAAAUAAACUGAAUGAAACUUUUGACUAUUGUGAAUGUAGUCACUUUAUGUAACUAUUAUUAUAUUAAAACAAGUUAUUGUCUUCUGUCAAUGUAUGCACAUAA
This is a long non-coding RNA of Pseudophryne corroboree (corroboree frog), 480 nucleotides long. RefSeq lists it as uncharacterized. The transcript has 3 exons. The record is from RefSeq and is a predicted model, not a curated record. Lineage: Eukaryota; Metazoa; Chordata; Amphibia; Anura; Myobatrachidae.